GCCUGGCUGGCUCAGUCCGUAGAGCAUGCGACUCUUGAUCUCGGGGUUGUGAGUUCGAGCCCCACGACGGGUG
RNAcentral lists this transfer RNA (73 nucleotides) under Ailuropoda melanoleuca (giant panda). It matches the Rfam family "tRNA". Rfam says of the family: Transfer RNA (tRNA) molecules are approximately 80 nucleotides in length. Their secondary structure includes four short double-helical elements and three loops (D, anti-codon, and T loops). The record is from Rfam by way of RNAcentral. Lineage: Eukaryota; Metazoa; Chordata; Mammalia; Carnivora; Ursidae.